AGCAGCCGCGGUAAUUCCAGCUCCAAUAGCGUAUAUUAAAGUUGUUGCAGUUAAAAAGCUCGUAGUUGAAUUUCGGGGUUAGCAGGUCGGUCGUGCCAUCGGUAUGAACUGGUCUCGCUGAUCCCUCCCUCUUGACGAACUGUGAUGCCAUUAAUUUGGUGUCGCAGGGAAUCAGGACUGUUACUUUGGAAAAAUUAGAGUGUUUAAAGCAGGCUCACGCUUGAAUACAUUAGCAUGGAAUAAUGAAAUAGGACGUUUGAUCCUAUUUUGUUGGUUUCUAGGAUUGACGUAAUGAUUAAUAGGGAUAGUUGGGGGCAUUAGUAUUCAAUUGUCAGAGGUGAAAUUCUUGGAUUUAUUGAAGACUAACUACUGCGAAAGCAUUUGCCAAGGAUGUUUUCAUUAAUCAAGAACGAAAGUUAGGGGAUCGAAGACGAUCAGAUACCGUCGUAGUCUUAACCAUAAACUAUGCCGACUAGGAAUCGGA
RNAcentral lists this unclassified non-coding RNA (484 nucleotides) under uncultured Glomus. RNAcentral describes it as "SSU rRNA". It matches the Rfam family "Eukaryotic small subunit ribosomal RNA", at positions 569 to 1057 of the family's 1831-position model. Lineage: Eukaryota; Fungi; Glomeromycota; Glomeromycetes; Glomerales; Glomeraceae. The record is from RNAcentral.